CGGCGGACGGGUGAGUAACACGUGGAUAACCUACCUAUAAGACUGGGAUAACUUCGGGAAACCGGAACUAAUACCGGAUAAUAUAUUGAACCGCAUGGUUCAAUAGUGAAAGACGGUUUUGCUGUCACUUAUAGAUGGAUCCGCGCCGCAUUAGCUAGUUGGUAAGGUAACGGCUUACCAAGGCAACGAUGCGUAGCCGACCUGAGAGGGUGAUCGGCCACACUGGAACUGAGACACGGUCCAGACUCCUACGGGAGGCAGCAGUC
This 266-nucleotide ribosomal RNA is filed under the name uncultured Staphylococcus sp. Its description in RNAcentral is "partial 16S ribosomal RNA". It matches the Rfam family "Bacterial small subunit ribosomal RNA", at positions 96 to 355 of the family's 1533-position model. The record is from RNAcentral. Lineage: Bacteria; Bacillati; Bacillota; Bacilli; Caryophanales; Staphylococcaceae.